AGAACACUAGAUGGAGCUGCUUCUUUGCCUUCCAGGGCUCAGCACCUCCUGGCGCCCGCAGCGGCGCUCCGGCCGGCUGCAGGACAAGGACAGCGCCAUCCGCCAGCCGAGCCCCGGAGGAGACGCGGUCCUCUGCUGCAGGGUGGAGCGUAUCUUUCGCCGGGACAGCUAGGGGGCUUGCGAGCCUGCUAGUCAGCUCUGCUCUUCUGCCUCUGGAAGCGAGAGAUCAAGUGAUUCAAACCAGGGGUUCACUGCCUCUACCUUAGGGACUCAGCAGAAGCAGAAUCCAUAAACGUGCUCUUCUGCGACAACCUUGAUUUAUCCUUCUCAGAAGCGAAUAUAUCCCUACAGAAAGGCACAAAGAAGGGUUCAGUGCCUGUGUAUUGUCUGCUGAGAAGUAACAUUACAUCAUCGUGGGGAGAAGGGACUUAGCAGGAUUGGUCCAUAAACUCCCUAGGGCGUACUGGGUCACUCUCCCUCUCAGGUCUGGCUAGCCAGCCCCGCGCUGGGCACUGUAGACUCCUGGCCCUAGAGGGCUUCGCUCUGACCUCUGCCCCGGGACCAUCCGUUCCCAAUAGACCCACCAGCCACCAUCGUGUUCUCCGCAGUGCUUUUUCUUCUGUUUAUUUGUUCCUUUCUUUAUGGUCUGUCACUGCACAAGACUGUGACUUCCCCGGGUACCUAGUCUCCUCUAAGCAUUGCCGUCGUGCCCUAGAAGAGUGUUGGGCGCCUACUGGGCGCUCAGUGAAUGCUUUGUGGAUUGGACGUUACUCCAAGCUCCACCUGCAUCUGUGCGUGGGUCUCCUCCCGCCUGUGCAUGCUGUCCCUGUGCCACAGUUUUUGUCAACUCGCUUGUGGAACUAUAGCCCUUCCUCGAAUAUCCUUGAAAAAUUCCUGCAGAAGACGCCUCUGGUGUGAAGCCUGCUGGGAGAAUCAGGGAGGAAAGAGAGAAUUACACCAUCCUCUUCUGGGGAGCAUUUUGUCAAGAGGCUGUUAA
RNAcentral lists this long non-coding RNA (997 nucleotides) under Chinchilla lanigera (long-tailed chinchilla). RNAcentral's name for it is "lncRNA (ENSCLAG00000025591.1)". The record is from RNAcentral. Lineage: Eukaryota; Metazoa; Chordata; Mammalia; Rodentia; Chinchillidae.